GACGAACGCUGGCGGCGUGCUUAACACAUGCAAGUCGAACGGAAAGGCCCUGCUUGCAGGGUACUCGAGUGGCGAACGGGUGAGUAACACGUGGGUGAUCUGCCCUGCACUUCGGGAUAAGCCUGGGAAACUGGGUCUAAUACCGGAUAGGAGCCAUUUUUAGUGUGAUGGUUGGAAAGUUUUUUCGGUGUAGGAUGAGCUCGCGGCCUAUCAGCUUGUUGGUGGGGUAAUGGCCUACCAAGGCGGCGACGGGUAGCCGGCCUGAGAGGGUGGACGGCCACAUUGGGACUGAGAUACGGCCCAGACUCCUACGGGAGGCAGCAGUGGGGAAUAUUGCACAAUGGGCAAGCCUGAUGCAGCGACGCCGCGUGGGGGAUGACGGCCUUCGGGUUGUAAACUCCUUUCGCUAGGGACGAAGCUUUUUGUGGCGGUACCUAGAUAAGAAGCACCGGCUAACUACGUG
Molecule: ribosomal RNA, 463 nt
Filed under: uncultured bacterium
Lineage: Bacteria
Description: partial 16S ribosomal RNA
Rfam family: Bacterial small subunit ribosomal RNA
Source: RNAcentral